RNAcentral lists this ribosomal RNA (507 nucleotides) under Pseudolycoriella frederickedwardsi. RNAcentral describes it as "partial large subunit ribosomal RNA". The record is from RNAcentral. Lineage: Eukaryota; Metazoa; Arthropoda; Insecta; Diptera; Sciaridae.
GUCUUUUUGAUUUUAAUUUAAAGUUUAACCUGCCCAUUGAAAAUUUUUAAAAGGCUGCGGUAUUUUGACUGUACAAAGGUAGCAUAAUCAUUAGUUUUUUAAUUGAAAACUUGUAUGAAUGGUUGAAUGAAAAAUUAACUUUUUUAAAAAAAUAAUUGAAUUUUACUUUUUAAUUAAAAGGUUAAAAUAAAUUUAAAAGACGAGAAGACCCUAUAGAGUUUUAUAAUUUUUAUUUAAUAUUUAAAAAGAUUAAUUAAAAUUUUAUAAAAGAAAAUAUUUUGUUGGGGUGAUAAUAAAAUUUAAAUAACUUUUAUUUUUUUUUUACAUUAAUAUAUGAAUUUAUGAUCCAUUAUUGAUGAUUAKAAAUUUAAAUUACCUUAGGGAUAACAGCGUAAUUUUUUUUUAAAGUUCAUAUUAAUAAAAAAUUUUGCGACCUCGAUGUUGGAUUAAGAUUUAAUUUUAGGUGCAGCAGUUUAAAUUUUAAGUCUGUUCGACUUUUAAAUUCUU